AUUGAACGCUGGCGGCAUGCCUUACACAUGCAAGUCGAACGGCAGCACGGGAGCAAUCCUGGUGGCGAGUGGCGAACGGGUGAGUAAUACAUCGGAACGUGCCCAAUCGUGGGGGAUAACGCAGCGAAAGCUGUUCUAAUACCGCAUACGAUCUACGGAUGAAAGCAGGGGACCGCAAGGCCUUGCGCGAAUGGAGCGGCCGUUGGCAGAUUAGGUAGUUGGUGGGGUAAAGGCUCACCAAGCCAACGAUCUGUAGCUGGUCUGAGAGGCCGACCAGCCAGACUGGGACUGAGACACGGCCCAGACUCCUACGGGAGGCAGCAGUGGGGAAUUUUGGACAAUGGGCGAAAGCCUGAUCCAGCCAUGCCGCGUGCAGGAUGAAGGCCUUCGGGUUGUAAACUGCUUUUGUACGGAACGAAACGGCCUUUUCUAAUAGAGAGGGCUAAUGACGGUACCGUAAGAAUAAGCACCGGCUAACUACGUG
RNAcentral lists this ribosomal RNA (484 nucleotides) under uncultured bacterium. RNAcentral describes it as "partial 16S ribosomal RNA". It matches the Rfam family "Bacterial small subunit ribosomal RNA", at positions 30 to 507 of the family's 1533-position model. The record is from RNAcentral.